GAUUGCCUUAGUAACGGCGAGUGAACCGGCAAAAGCUCAAAUUUGAAAUCUUGCAUUUUUGCAUGAGUUGUAAUUUGAAGAGGAUGUCUUUUGUCUUGCUUGGGGUUUAAGUCUCCUGGAAUGGAGCAUCAUGGAGGGUGACAAUCCCGUUUCUGGCUUCAAGUUUUAAGACUUUAUAAGACUCCUUCAAUGAGUCGAGUUGUUUGGGAAUGCAGCUCUAAAUGGGAGGUAAAUUUCUUCUAAAGCUAAAUACAAGCUAGAGACCGAUAGCGAACAAGUAGAGUGAUCGAAAGAUGAAAAGUACUUUGGAAAGAGAGUUAAACAGUAUGUGAAAUUGUUGGAAGGGAAGCAUUUGCAAUCAGAUCUGUGUUGUUGGAAUUCACCUACACAAUUAUUGUGCUUAGAGCAUUUUCCUUCAAUACUUGUCAACAUCAAUUUGAGUAGUGAUAAAAUCUUAGUCAAAAUGUAGCUCACUGAGUGUUAUAGUUGAUUUUGCUUAUCACUAACUUAGAUUGAGGAACGCGAUAGCAUGGAUGUUGACUUAAUGGUUGUAAGUGGCCCGUCUUGAAACACGGACCAAGGAGUCUAACGUUUACGCGAGUGUUUGGGUGUAAAGCUCAAGCGCAUAAUGAAAGUAAAUGUAGGUGGGAGAUUUUUCUUUGGAAAAUUGCACCAUCGACCGAUCUUGAAGUUUUCUGAUGGAUUUGAGUAUGAGCGUAAUUGUUGGGACCCGAAAGAUGGUGAACUAUGCCUGCUUAGGCUGAAGUCAGGGGAAACCCUGAUGGAGGGUCGCAGCGGUUCUGACGUGCAAAUCGAUCGUCAAAAGUGGGUAUAGGGGCGAAAGACCAAUCGAACCAUCUAGUAGCUGGUUCACACC
This 877-nucleotide ribosomal RNA is filed under the name Gloeandromyces nycteribiidarum. Its description in RNAcentral is "LSU rRNA". It matches the Rfam family "Eukaryotic large subunit ribosomal RNA", at positions 73 to 962 of the family's 3401-position model. The record is from RNAcentral. Lineage: Eukaryota; Fungi; Ascomycota; Laboulbeniomycetes; Laboulbeniales; Laboulbeniaceae.